CGGUGCGCUAACCAGCAAUGGAGGCAGCCGACCACGGUAGGUCAGCGACUGGGGUG
Molecule: ribosomal RNA, 56 nt
Filed under: uncultured bacterium
Lineage: Bacteria
Description: partial 16S ribosomal RNA
Source: RNAcentral